Molecule: long non-coding RNA, 453 nt
Filed under: Struthio camelus australis
Lineage: Eukaryota; Metazoa; Chordata; Aves; Struthioniformes; Struthionidae
Description: lncRNA (ENSSCUG00000003590.1)
Source: RNAcentral
ACUAGCUAACUCAGAGCUUGCUAAUGAGAGCUUGGCUCUUCGUUUCCAGGUGCAAUGGCUUGAGGCUGGGGCGACCGCGACCUGCUGCAGUCGGACACGGAUCUGACUGGAAACCCGGCAUCCGCAGGGACGUCACGGUGCUGCCGUCGGGGAUCGUUCUGAAGUGGAGGAGACUACAAAGUCAGGAACAGCUCUGUACCAUGUUGCUGUCACUCUGCCUGAUAGAAAAUCACCUGCGUCGUGGACCGAUUCAUUGCUGGGAGUUGUUUGAAAAGCUUCUGUUUAAUAUGCUGGAAAUCACCAUGUGAAAUCAAUCCAGCAGUGGGGAUUGAAUUUUUCUAAACCAUUCCCCGUCUCAGUGGUUUUGGAUUCCCAUCCUAUUUUUGUUUUAAUUUAUUCUGGAGACAGACCUGGCCCCAGUGCCUCUGUUCCCAGGCUCCGUGGGCUCCCACG